This 413-nucleotide ribosomal RNA is filed under the name uncultured bacterium. Its description in RNAcentral is "bacterial SSU rRNA". It matches the Rfam family "Bacterial small subunit ribosomal RNA", at positions 505 to 916 of the family's 1533-position model. The record is from RNAcentral.
GUGCCAGCCGCCGGGGUAAUACGGAGGGUGCGAGCGUUAAUCGGAAUUACUGGGCGUAAAGCGCGCGUAGGCGGUUUGGUAAGCGGGGUGUGAAAGCCCCGGGCUCAACCUGGGAACUGCAUCCCGAACUGCCAGACUAGAGUACGAGAGAGGGUGGUGGAAUUUCCUGUGUAGCGGUGAAAUGCGUAGAUAUAGGAAGGAACACCAGUGGCGAAGGCGGCCACCUGGCUCGAUACUGACGCUGAGGUGCGAAAGCGNGGGGAGCAAACAGGAUUAGAUACCCUGGUAGUCCACGCCCUAAACGAUGCGAACUGGACGUCGGGUGCAAUUGAGCAUUCAGUGUCGAAGCUAACGCGUUAAGUUCGCCGCCUGGGGAGUACGGUCGCAAGACUGAAACUCAAAUGAAUUGGCGG